CUCGAGUUUUUCAGCAAGAUAGAGUUUGAUCCUGGCUCAGGACGAACGCUGGCGGCGUGCUUAACACAUGCAAGUCGAACGGAGAUGUAAGCUUGCUUAUAUCUUAGUGGCAAACGGGUGAGUAACGCGUGGGUAACCUACCCUAAAGUGGGGGAUAACAGGUCGAAAGGUCUGCUAAUACCGCAUACCCUUCAAAUACAAAAGUAUUUGAAGGAAAGGAGAAAUUCGCUUAAGGAGGGGCCUGCGUCCUAUCAGGUAGUUGGUGAGGUAACGGCCCACCAAGCCUAUGACGGGUAGCUGGUCUGAGAGGAUGAUCAGUCACACUGGAACUGAGACACGGUCCAGACUCCUACGGGAGGCAGCAGUGGGGAAUAUUCCGCAAUGGGCGAAAGCCUGACGGAGCGACGCCGCGUGGAUGAUGAAGACCCUAUGGGUCGUAAAAUCCUUUUGUGAGGGAAGAAGAUCUGACGGUACCUCACGAAUAAGCCACGGCUAACUACGUGCCAGCAGCCGCGGUAAAACGUAGGUGGCAAGCGUUGUCCGGAAUUACUGGGCGUAAAGAGUGCGUAGGCUGUUUUGUAAGUCUCAGGUGAAAUCUAUCAGCUCAACUGAUAAACUGCUUGAGAUACUGCAUAACUUGAGGGCAGGAGAGGAGAGUGGAAUUCCCGGUGUAGCGGUGAAAUGCGUAGAUAUCGGGAGGAACACCAGUGGCGAAGGCGACUCUCUGGACUGUCCCUGACGCUGUGGCACGAAAGCUAGGGGAGCAAACAGGAUUAGAUACCCUGGUAGUCCUAGCCGUAAACGAUGGAUGCUUGGUGUAGGAGGUUAUACCUUCUGUGCCGAAGCUAACGCGUUAAGCAUCCCGCCUGGGAACUACGGCCGCAAGGUUAAAACUCAAAGGAAUUGACGGAUCUUUCUAGA
This 921-nucleotide ribosomal RNA is filed under the name uncultured bacterium. RNAcentral's name for it is "partial 16S ribosomal RNA". It matches the Rfam family "Bacterial small subunit ribosomal RNA", at positions 1 to 927 of the family's 1533-position model. The record is from RNAcentral.